CACAGCGGCCUUGGGUUUGGGCUCCAGCCCCAGCCGGGCCCCCUCGCGCCGCUGCGGCUGCUGCGCGGUGAGGUCGUGACAAGUCACAGCUAACUUGCCCUCCGCGCCAUUCCACGCCACCAGGAAGCGCAGCCGGUGCCUCUCGGCAUCGGCGAAGAGGCCUUGCCGGACCGGCGCCCAGCCCUCCAGGCUGUCGAGCUGCUCGUCCUCCAUGGCCGUCGGCGGCAGCGGCCCUAGGACUCGGCGGGCGCGGGCCUGACCUCGUCGCACUGCCUGUCAGGGGACAGUCCCAGGCUGGAGUGCAAUGGCAUGAUCUCGGCUCACUGCGACCUCUGCCUCUUGGGUUCAAGCGAUUUUCUUGCCUCAGCCUUCGCAGUAGCUGGGAUUACAGGUGCGCACCAACAUGCCUGGCUAAUUUUUGUAUUUUUAGUAGAGACAGCGUUUCACCAUGUUGGCCAGGCUGGUCUCUAACUCCUGACCUCAGGUGAUCCACCCGCCUCAGCCUCCCAAAGAGUUGGGAUUACAGGCUGAGCCACUGCACCCGGCCUUAAAUGCAUUUUCGGCUUAUAUUUUCAACUGAUGAUGAGCUAUAACUCCUUUGUGAGUUGAGGAUCAUCUGUCUUGAAUUUGGUUUUACAGGCAUAACUGAAGGUGAAAGGACAGAAUCACCGUGUGUUACUGGCACAGAUGCAUCGGCUAGUGAAGAAAGAAGACAUUCAAACUGGCUGAAGCAGUGCCUACUCAAUAGAACCAGUCAUCGUGCAAAGACAUGCCACCUGACUCAAAGGCAAAGCCAGAGUGCAGCUUGGAGCAAAGAAGUCAGGUUUUCCUUGUUCCUGCGUGUUCAGCCAUUUGUUUUUAAGUUUGUGUUGAAGGAGAAACUAACAACGAAAAUGGACUUGUUGACGGAAGAAAAGUAGGAAUGCAGCCUCUGGUGCUGUUUGAGUGAUCCCUCUGCCCCAGGCCUGGCUGCGCGCUGCUGUGUUCUGGAAAGGCGCAUUGUGCCCUCGCUGUGGCAGGUAAGAGUCCUGUACAGGUGCUCUGCCCACUUUACCUUUCAGGCUUCUGUAUCAGCUGUUUUUCCCUUGUAGAAUGUGCCCCUGACCUGUGCCCCUGACUUCCACCCCUUAACCCUGCCCAAUACAUCUUUACAUGUCUGACCAUCAAGACUCUUCUGGGUCAUAUUCAGUUCAUGCUGAUAUUUUCCCUUCCUCCCCUCUUUAGUCCUUACUAUUUUUGCUUUGGUCAUGUUAUGCUAUAUUCUGUAAGCCUUUAAAAAUUUUGUUGUAUCAUGGCAGGGGAGAAUAUUUUAUAAUUAUGCUUUGUGCGUUUUAUCUUCCACUCAAUGAAUGCUUGGUAAAUAUUUGUUUUAUUGAGUAUAUGACCCUUUUCUAGCUAUACCGUGAACAAAAAUGUUAACUGCCUUGUACGUUAACUGCUAAGAAUUUGUCAAAAGUGCAGAGAUGACAUCCAGAACUUGUCAGAAUAUUACAAAAAGGUCUCUAAGGGCAUGAUGGAGGUCUGUAAAUUGACUUCAUGUGAAAGAGUGUAAGAAGUGAAAAUGUGAAGCAUGACUGGAGAGCCGGAGUGAUAAAGCAAGGGUCCCUUUCUCUAGAUCCUUUGUAACAGUGUCAUGUGACCUCUUCUAGAUCAUUCUGAAAGACAAUGCCAGCUCGGAACCUAGGAAAGCAUCCAGUGGGUUUCUGCAUGUUAGGUGGUUCAAAUCCUCAUUAGCACCUUUGUUUUCUCUGCCUCAGUUUGCUUACAGUGAUGUUCUCAGUAGCUGUAAUUGCUGUCUGUCUUUGAAUAUUUAAGCAUUUUUUUUUUUUAGAUCACAGGGUAUAUGUGCAUUUUUAUUUUACCAAGUGUUAGAAUUUUUACUCUGCCUUUGUGGGCUCUGGGUUAGCUACUUGGCUGUUUCAUCGUAAAAUGAUUAGCAGGAAAAACUGUGUGUGUGUGUGUGUGUGUGUGUGUGUGUGUGUGUGUGUGUGCACGUGUGUAUUUUAAGUUUCUUAAUUGGGUUGGUACAUGUAAACCAUUUAGAACAGUGCCUGCUGCAUAUCACAUCCCCAUCAGUAUUCACGUCUCUCAUAUUCUACCCUCACACUUGAUUGAUAGUUUGCUUGAUUACGUAUUUCUAGGUUGAGGAUAAUUUUACCUUAGAAUUUCAAAGUCUGUGCUGUUGUCUUCUAACCAGUCGUGGUGGCGAAGCCUCAUGCCAUCCUGAGUUUCACUUGUUUAUGCAUGACUUUCUCCCUGGAAGCUUUUAGGAGUUUGUCUUUUCCUUGGUGAGCUGAAAUAGCACAACAGUGUACUUAGUGUGGGUCUUUUUUCAUUCAUUAUGCUGGGUACACCAAAUGAACAGGCCUAUGGAUAGGCUCUUUCAAAGUUGGAGUCUUGAAUCUUGUCAUAUUUUUGUUGUUAACUUUCUCUUUUCCAUUUUAUUUGUUCAUUUGGAAGUGUCUGUUAAUUGGAUUUGAGACCUCUUGUCUUGAGUCUUAUAUCUCACGUUAUUUCUAAAUGUUUUUUAAAUUUUCAGUUCUGGAAUAUUUUCUUAUCUUUCGACUUUCAGGAAAUUUUAUUUGGACUGUCAUAACUUUAAGUUUUGUUUUGGUUAUUUAUUGUUGCUUAACCAAUUAUCCCAAAACUUAAUGGCCUAAAACUACACAUCUGUCUAUCUGUCACGACUGUAUGGAUUACCUGGGGCUAGCUGGACAGUUUUUCUGCUGGUCUCAUUUGGCAGCUCUCACUGUGUGGUUAAACAGUGUCAGGGACUGGUCAUCUGGAUGCUCAGCUGCAGUGGAAUGUCUGAGACGGCUUCUUUACCCACAGGUCUGCUGCCUUGGUAAUUCUUGAUGUGGCCUUUCUCUCUGCAUAGCAUCUCAUCCUCUCGGAUCUCUUCAUGUGGCUUUUCUUUCUCCAAGAAGGUAGCCAAUUCUUAUUUUUGGCUUCCAGAAGCACAGAAAUGGAGCUGCCAGGAGUUCUUAAGGCUUAGACCUGGAACAGGUCCAGUGUCAUUUCUACCACAUGCUAUAGGUUAAAGUGAGUGUUGGGGCCAACCCAGAUUGACUAUGGGAUGGGCCUGUCUGAGGACAUGAUGACAGGAGGUAUGGCUCAUUGGAGACCAACUCCCAAGAUGGAGCAUGAGUUCUAAGAACUUUUUCUUCUCUGAUUAUUUCUUAUUCAUAUUGUUUUGUUUUAUACAUGUAAUAUAUUCACAAGUGUCUUUAUGAAGUGAUUUUGAUACUC
This 3249-nucleotide long non-coding RNA is filed under the name Homo sapiens (human). RNAcentral describes it as "HSALNT0218190". The record is from RNAcentral. Lineage: Eukaryota; Metazoa; Chordata; Mammalia; Primates; Hominidae.